UUUUUUUUUGCUUUCAACUCCAAGAUGGAAAUUGUUAGGCUUCGACCAAAAUUGGGGUUUUCAAUCUUGUCUCUUGCAUCUCUAGUGAUUUCUUAGGUGAUAUGGAUUAUCUCAGCUUUGCACUUAACUGGUCCCUUCUUUUUGUGCUUGCAGUUGGGUAUUGCAUAGCAGUGAAUUAUUCUUUUUAUGGAGGGGAUUUGUUUGGCC
RNAcentral lists this long non-coding RNA (207 nucleotides) under Solanum tuberosum (potato). Its description in RNAcentral is "long non-coding RNA (STUB_LNC000146)". The record is from RNAcentral. Lineage: Eukaryota; Viridiplantae; Streptophyta; Magnoliopsida; Solanales; Solanaceae.